RNAcentral lists this non-coding RNA (31 nucleotides) under Rattus norvegicus (Norway rat). Lineage: Eukaryota; Metazoa; Chordata; Mammalia; Rodentia; Muridae. The record is from RNAcentral.
UAACAGGGAAGUCGCAGAGCUCCUAACGUUU